This 475-nucleotide long non-coding RNA is filed under the name Sus scrofa (pig). RNAcentral describes it as "lncRNA (ENSSSCG00070023276.1)". The record is from RNAcentral. Lineage: Eukaryota; Metazoa; Chordata; Mammalia; Artiodactyla; Suidae.
GUGAAAGAUUGUUCUUGUAUUUAUCCUGGCAAUUUUAGACCACAGUCAAAACAUGAUAGGUACAAGAAUGAGGAGAAAUCUGUGAACAAGAUUCAAAAGAAGCAAGAGAUUAAUAGAAAACCAAGAAAAUUGGUGUCAAGAAGAAAACGAAGGUAAAAUAUCAUGAAAACUGUGUGUUGUAUGUUUUAAAUAUUGCAAAGAUAUCCAUAUUUAAAGUAUUCGGCACUUAGAUUAUCAGUUGCCCUGAAGAAGGUAUUAAUGUCCUGAUGGGUCAAGAAUCCAAAAUGCUUUUGCUUGAAGUGUGAAUGGGAAACUUGAGAAGAUAAAAGCUAAGACACCUUUUGAAGAACAAAAAGUAGUUGUGUAGCUAGAGAGCUAUUGAUCAAGACAAUGAGAUUGUAGACAGUUGAGCAUAUUGAUAUGCUGAGUGAAAGGACUCAAUAAAAUGCAUGAGGCUAAGGGUACCUGAGGAAAA